RNAcentral lists this long non-coding RNA (822 nucleotides) under Bos indicus x Bos taurus (hybrid cattle). RNAcentral describes it as "lncRNA (ENSBIXG00005020643.1)". The record is from RNAcentral. Lineage: Eukaryota; Metazoa; Chordata; Mammalia; Artiodactyla; Bovidae.
CUCCAAAAAGCACGGGUGGUUCAAAAAGCCUGACUCAGCCUGGCCUUAGAGGACCCUCCUGCGGAUGCAGGUAAGGGGUUCCACGGGGGCACAGAGCAUGUCACAACUACCGACACACAUGGAACUGCAUCGCGUGCCUGACCGCAGCACGUGACCAGAAGCCAAGGACUGGGCGCUUCCAGGGCAACACGCCUCCGGUGGAGCUUGGCAUCACUCCAUCCUCCCUCCAACCCCAUCGCACCCACCUGCUCCCCGCCGUGGGCUGCUUCUCCAUGAACGGCCUGAUGUUCUUCCAGAUGCCGAAGCCAGAAGUCUUUGAGGCCAAAUGCACCCUCCUGCCCGUCACCUCAAUGACCCCGCAUCUCACUGGUCAUCUCUCUGUUCUUCCAUUCUGUCUCCUUCUGCUGCCCAGAUGCCAAGGCUGGCCCGUGUACCUCCAUGGAUCCUACAGCACCAAGCUCACCUCCAGCAGAGAAAGUGGAGCCGUCAGUGCAGAAGCAGCUCGCCUUAGCUGUGACAGUGUGUUUCCUUUGUUUUGCUUACUUGAUGUUAUGUGAUGCACAGAUUUUUAUUCUGGGUCUCUUUUCUUGGUCAGGACAGUGACUAAUGGUAAAGAUCCAGCUCUGGUUCUUGAUGUGCUAAUCCUAGCCUUGAGUAUUUCUCUACUUGGCCUGUUACAGUGGGCAUGAAUUUAUACGUGACAGGCAGACACAGAGCCUUUUAGCUAAUUACAAAGAGAACGCCCCACAUGGCAGCCAUCCUGCCCCCUUGGAAACAAAAGCAGAGAAAGAUGAUUUGCUGGUGAUUGAAGGUAAAUCUCCU